UACGUAGGGUGCAAGCGUUAAUCGGAAUUACUGGGCGUAAAGCGUGCGCAGGCGGUUAUAUAAGUCAGAUGUGAAAUCCCCGGGCUCAACCUGGGAACUGCCUUUGAGACUGUAUAGCUUGAGUACGGGAGAGGGGGAUGGAAUUUCGCGUGUAGCAGUGAAAUGCGUAGAUAUUCGGAGGAACACCGAUGGCGAAGGCAAUCCCCUGGACCUGUACUGACGCUCAUGCACGAAAGCGUGGGGAGCAAACAGGAGUAGAUACCCUGGUAGUCCACGCCCUAAACGAUGUCAACUGGUUGUUGGGUCUUAACUGACUCAGUAACGAAGCUAACGCGUUAAGUUGACCGCCUGGGGAGUACGGCCGCAAGGUUG
This 372-nucleotide ribosomal RNA is filed under the name uncultured prokaryote. Its description in RNAcentral is "bacterial SSU rRNA". It matches the Rfam family "Bacterial small subunit ribosomal RNA", at positions 524 to 896 of the family's 1533-position model. The record is from RNAcentral.